GACGAACGCUGGCGGCGUGCUUAACACAUGCAAGUCGAACGGAAAGGCCCUGCUUGCAGGGUACUCGAGUGGCGAACGGGUGAGUAACACGUGGGUGAUCUGCCCUGCACUUCGGGAUAAGCCUGGGAAACUGGGUCUAAUACCGGAUAGGAGCCAUUUUUAGUGUGAUGGUUGGAAAGUUUUUUCGGUGUAGGAUGAGCUCGCGGCCUAUCAGCUUGUUGGUGGGGUAAUGGCCUACCAAGGCGGCGACGGGUAGCCGGCCUGAGAGGGUGGACGGCCACAUUGGGACUGAGAUACGGCCCAGACUCCUACGGGAGGAAGCAGUGGGGAAGAUUGCACAAUGGGCGCAAGCCUGGUGCAGCAACGCCGCGGGGGGGAUGACGGCCUUCGGGUUGGAAACUCCUUUCGCUAGGGACGAAGCUUUUUGUGACGGUACCUAGAUAAGAAGCACCGGCUAACUACGUG
Molecule: ribosomal RNA, 465 nt
Filed under: uncultured bacterium
Lineage: Bacteria
Description: partial 16S ribosomal RNA
Rfam family: Bacterial small subunit ribosomal RNA
Source: RNAcentral